GGAUGUGACUCAGUGGUAGAGUGUUUGCCUGGUAUGCUUGAGGCCCUGAGUUCAAUCUCCAGUACCA
RNAcentral lists this transfer RNA (67 nucleotides) under Marmota monax (woodchuck). Its description in RNAcentral is "tRNA.Thr". The record is from RNAcentral. Lineage: Eukaryota; Metazoa; Chordata; Mammalia; Rodentia; Sciuridae.